GAGAUUAGUGUUAACAGAAAGUAGUAAUAACAGUAACAGUAAGUAUUGGAUUAGGUAUUUUUAGUGGUAAAGAUUAAGCAGUAGAAAAGCAAGCAAGAACAUGCAUAAUGCUGAGUAAAAGAGAACACUAUCAGGAAAAAAUAAUUUAUUUUUAAAUAUGCCUCCAAAUAGCCAUGUAAUAUUAGCACAUCCUUUCCACUCAGGUCAUGGCUGCAUUAAGGUUCCUGUGGGCCCUCCAGUGGGUUUAAAUAUAUGCUUUAAGUUAUGUAAACACCAUCCAAUCCUAUUUGCAUCGUCACUCUAUGACAUGAAAUGCUAUAAUGACCUCCUUUUAGUUUGUCCAGUGCUAUGUAUAAAGCAGGCUUAGGUGCUUUUAUUGUUAAGGAGGUCAACUCUCUUAAUGAGCUUUAGGCAUUCCCAGAGAGUCUUUCAAUAUUGCAAGACAUACCUGGCCCCAGGCAGGACAGUUAUGGCUCUGCCAACACCUAAGUGGUGCAGACAGAUCCCAUGUGACAGGUUAUGUAACUGAGCUGGGCUUUAUAUGCCCUGGGACCUAAAGCGUGUAAAGGGCUCGAGGGAGAAGAGCAUCAGGUGAGGAAAAGGUGUUUGCAUACUGUGCUUCUUGGGGUGCUUUUGGCAUUGUAGCAAACAAUAUUAGGCUUAAUGUUAUGCUUCAUUAAGAGGUCAACUUGUAAGAAAUCCAUGGGAUUUAGUAAUGAUUUGUGUGUUCUAGAAUUGCAGGGGCUGAAAUUCUACAAAGACUCAGAAAUCAUGAUGAUUCCUCUCCGGAGAAUGACACCUGGGUAUAUAAGGUUGUUGCAGACUCAAGCUGCAGCAAAAAUUGUUAUCAACCCAUCAGACACAGCGCUGCAACGGGCGGCAUUCCUCCUGGGAGUGUUUGGGAUCAGUAUAUCCAGCUACAGCACACACCAGCUAACUCAAACAAAGAGAUUUCCCUUGACCCCUUGAGCUGUGUUGGGAUGUGAUCCAGGAAGUCCAGGAUUAUGUCAGUACUGCUGAUGAGUGGCUUUUCUGCCUCAGUUACCAGUGUGGAGGUAACGAGACACUUUGCAUUCGUGACUUCUACAUGCAAAGUUAAAAAGAUGGAAGAAUGACAGACAUCUUUAAGAAAGAAAAAAAAAAUAACUGCUAUCAGAAUCAUCAGAUUUCCAAAUAACAAAAACUGUCUGUAAAUACAAUGGACUUCUUUUGUUAUCCAGUGUAUACAUAGAGAUCUAAAGGUAUAAAAAUGCAGUUACAUUCGGAGUAGGUGUAAACAGAUUGAUGGGGAUGCUGUGCUUUGGGAGAGUUGCACUGCAUUGCAGCUUUUGCAAAUUGACUCUGAUGCAAAGACUGGUUUGGAAAAGAAGUUAAAGGCAACAUAUUCCUCAAGACAAGAGUUAGAACAAAUUAAUCUCCCAUUGACUCUUUUCACUAUUCUAUCUAACUAGAUAGGUACAUUUGUGUGUAUUACAGAAUUUGUGCGCUCUAGCCUUUUUUAUUGAAUCUUAAACAUUUCUGGAUGCCUUUUGAGUAGCAAUGUCUGUGUAUUGUAACACAAGCUGCUAGCCUUCUGCCACAGCAGAAAUGGCCACAGGCUACACCAACCAUAUGGUGCUGGGAAACGCCCAUGGCUCCAGACCAGAUAACUUCCUAACUCUGUACGGUAACUCUCUGUUCUAGAAAGUAUCAGUAAAAAUACUGUGUUGGGUUUUACUGUGAAGUUCAAUAUCUGACCAAAUUCCUCUGCAAAGCCAACUCAUCUCAUAAUAUACGUUCUGAUUAAAAUAAAAAUAGAGACUGACCUUU
This is a long non-coding RNA of Empidonax traillii (willow flycatcher), 1809 nucleotides long. RefSeq lists it as uncharacterized. The transcript has 2 exons. Lineage: Eukaryota; Metazoa; Chordata; Aves; Passeriformes; Tyrannidae. The record is from RefSeq and is a predicted model, not a curated record.